Molecule: ribosomal RNA, 118 nt
Filed under: Lactiplantibacillus garii
Lineage: Bacteria; Bacillati; Bacillota; Bacilli; Lactobacillales; Lactobacillaceae
Description: Lactobacillus sp. FI11369 partial 16S ribosomal RNA
Rfam family: Bacterial small subunit ribosomal RNA
Source: RNAcentral
UUAAUUUGAGAGUUUGAUCCUGGCUCAGGACGAACGCUGGCGGCGUGCCUAAUACAUGCAAGUCGAACGAACUCUGGUAUUGAUUGGUGCUUGCAUCAUGAAAUACAUUUGAGUGAGU